Molecule: ribosomal RNA, 497 nt
Filed under: uncultured bacterium
Lineage: Bacteria
Description: partial 16S ribosomal RNA
Rfam family: Bacterial small subunit ribosomal RNA
Source: RNAcentral
GAUGAACGCUGGCGGCGUGCCUAAUACAUGCAAGUCGAGCGAACAGACGCGGCGCUUGCUCCUCUGACGUUAGCGGCGGACGGGUGAGUAACACGUGGCUAACCUCCCUAUAAUACUGGGAUAACUUCGGGAAACCGGCGCUAAUACCGGACAAUAUAUUGAACCGCAUGGUUCAAUCGUGAACGACGGUUUUGCUGUCACUUCUAGAUGGAUCCGCGCCGCAUUAGCUGGUUGGUAAGGUAACGGCUUACCAAGGCGACGAUGCGUAGCCGACGUGAGAGGGUGAUCGGCCACACGGGAACUGAGACGCGGUCCAGACGCCUGCGGGAGGCAGCAGAAGGGAAUCUGCCGCAAUGGGCGGAAGCCUGACGGAGCAACGCCGCGUGAGUGAUGAAGGUCCUCGGAUCGUAAAACUCUGUUAUGAGGGAAGAACAAAUGUGUAAGUAACUAUGCACGUCUUGACGGUACCUAAACAGAAAGCCACGGCUAACUACGUG